RNAcentral lists this long non-coding RNA (4453 nucleotides) under Anas zonorhyncha (Eastern spot-billed duck). RNAcentral's name for it is "lncRNA (ENSAZOG00000005133.1)". Lineage: Eukaryota; Metazoa; Chordata; Aves; Anseriformes; Anatidae. The record is from RNAcentral.
AUGAACGAACCACAGCACGAACCCCCUGGAAUGAAGUUUGUGCCAAAACGAGGGCUAAAGGAGUCAGAGUGGCCUCUCCGUACAAAACCUGGCAGUGGUCUGGUGCUGCACAGCUAUGCCUCUGGAGGAGGGAUGAUAAAGGGAAGCACGACUGCCCCUCACCCCGCAAUGCUGCCCAUAAGGUGUGACCUGCCCCAGGAUGUCUCAGAUUUAUUUGAAUUCAUUCAAAGCACCAGAAGACCCCCCAACCAUAAAAUAAUAAUUUGGAAGACAUAAUGCCAUAAAACAUUCCUUUACUGGAGAACAAGUGGCAUCGUUCCUUCAGAACGCCCCUCUUUGCUUCUGUAGAAUUGUGUUUUGGUUGUUUGCUUCAAGCAACCCUCAGAGUUAAAUUAACCAAGGUCCUUGGCGGUUGCCUAAAAUAGCUGAGGAGGUCUUCCCAGUGCACCGAGUCAUCCCUGGAAGGACAGAGCCUAUUCCUCAAGGCUCAUCUUGAAAGGGAAAACUAACAAUUACGAUGUGUUUUACUAAUGAUGGAAUUCAGGUUGUGAAGUCAGACUUCAGCCCCUGUAAGUGCUUCUUGGCUCCUCAGAAGUGAAAGACGUGGAACUGCUUUAGCAAGGGACAGUCCCUUACUGCCAUGAAUACAGCCAGAUAGACACUUUCAAAAACCAGGUUUACAGUUUAAAUGUAUCUAUCAUUUAUUCUCUUUGAGCCAAACAGACAAAUGUACUGAGUUAAAAGUCAAAGUAUUCCAGGGCACAGCCAAACACAGAAUGACAAACUAACAAAUGUCUCUGAGGAGCAUUUUGUUAUCCUUCCAAAACCUUCAAGUAUUUUACACAGAACCCAUGUUUCAGGGAAUAUAAGAUGUGCGAAAUCUUCAAAGUACUCGUUUAUAGCAUCACAGUUCUGCCCAUCAGAAGAGCAGCGUGUCAGAAAUGCUAGAGCUAACAAGUCAUUAGUUCUCUGAUAGAAAGAGAAACAAAUACAAUUAAAAACCUUCAGUUCUAAGCCAAUCCAACACCAGAUACUAAACCAAUCCAACACCAGAUACUAUUUUCCUCGUUUUAAAGUUUAGUCUGAGGACUUAGAAGCUCCUUUUCUAGAGGACUUUUUUUUUUUUUUUAAACAUACACAAAUUACUAAGAGGUGUUUAACAGAUCUACAUAAUGAAUUUGUAAUAAAAAACAAGGAAGAAAAAAUAAAAAAGAUCCUGCACUGCAGAUCUGACUCCUGAAAGGAACUCCAUGAUCAGGAGAGCUCAUGUCCAAGGGCUCUAAAGCUGGUUGAGUGCAGCAGCUUUACAGAUGUUACGCCUCCCCAAACCUUUUCUUCCACUACCAAAGCACCUUCUGUGUUUUUUUUUUUUCUGACAACAGCAUCUACUGAAGUUCAAGAAAACAAGUUUUUCUUCAUUAUCGCUUUCUUUCUGUUGUUAAACGUUUAAAAUAAAAAUUGCUAUUUUGCUGUCAUUUUUCCAUGGUUAUUGGUUGCAGUGUUGCAUUUUGGUACAGUAUAACUUACAGCCUAGUUUGGUUUUAAAACCAAUGUGUGGCCAUCUGCCUAUCCUGCCGUCAGGCAAGAACUUUGCUCUCACCCGACUCACUAUAAAAUCAAUCAUGAUGUGUACUUAACACUCUCCUUGAAGCAAAGGAAAGCAGCAGGAUGAAAAGCUAAAACCACAUCCUCUGCCCUUUGUCGGGAACACAGCUUCACAGUCACUGUACCCUUCAAAGCUUCUUGCUCUUUCCAGGCUGAUGGCAAACGAUUACAGAGAACCUGUGCUGGCUUCCUCCUUAGCCAUUUACCUGUCCUCUCACAGCUACUCUAAGCCAGCGCAACCUUCAGAUCAACUCUGAAGACUUCUUCAAGUUCAGCACUGAACUAAACAGAAGGGCAGCUGAAAGUAAAAUACAUAUAUAUAUAUAUUUAGUUCAGUAUGCAUGCUUAAUAAAUUAGGUAUCACCUUUGUAAUAUCUUACUAUUACAGAUGCCACCUUGUAACGAUAGCAUUUCUUCUUAUAAAAUGUAUCAUUCAUCUCAAGGUUCACUUGCAAAUUUAAUUUGGAAUUAAAAAAAGUGUUCCUCUAAUGACGUCAAGAAAAGAGAGACUGACUUAUGUUAAGGUUGAAUUUGAGUGUGCCUGUGAGCUGAGCAUCCCUGCAGGGCUCAGGGAGAACAUACCCUUGGAGAUGCUUCCGAACCACACCAAUUGCACACUGUUUACUUGGAGGUGGUUCGGGGCACUCUACUGAAGACCAGACUAGAAUGGGAGUCGAAGUAACUGGGGAUGAAGUGCCCAGUGACUCAUUUGUGGUCCCUUGUGAGCAUUUGCAGCUAUCCAACAAAAUCACAGAGAGGACAGAAGUAGGCUAGUACUUGGAGGAAGACUUGCCUUCUCCACCCAUCUUGCAGUGGUUCAGAUUUUCUCUUUUAAAGCCCUUAAAAGAUGAAGUUUAAGUGGUGCUUGCCUCCAGUAGGAAGCACCACUGUGUCAGAGGCUAAGGACCAGGCAGCUGAAGCUGCACUGAACUGGAACUUGUGGCACCCCAAGGGCAUUUCCAGGCACGUCUGACUGUGCACUGAGCAUGUGAGAGCUUGUGUUUGCAACCUUUACUGUGCUGCUCUGCGGGUGUGAUUUUCCAUUUCGGUUAGACGGAAAACUUGUGCAUUCCUGCUUCAGAAUAGAGGAUCCAGACUUAGCCUGCUUCAGCCUCACUCUGGAGCCCACACGGACUCUCUGCUCAUCAGCAUCUCAAUGAGCACUUCACUCAGCCGUGUCUCUGCAAAUGGUUCCUGCCUCAGACCAAUGCACUGAAACCAGCGCUGUCAGCUGGAUGCAGAACCGGCCAGAAACACCCCUAAAUGAGAAACCUGUCAUAUGCCAUUCACAGUCACAUCCAUUAGUGAAAACUAAUCAGGAACUGCACUUGUAUGACAAUUGUGUACCAUUUAUUGCAAGGUGCCUUUUCUGGACAAAGUGUGUAUUUUUAAGAUAAAACGUGAAGUCUCUUCCGUUGGUGCCUCCUAGUGCUGGCAGGCAUGACACAACUUGGGCUUCCAAAUAUUUCCUGCAGGAUGUAUUUUUGUCCUCAUCGAUGUACUCUUGCAGUACACAGUGUCUAUUACAUUUGAGUCUUGCCCUGUGUGACACAAGCAGCAGAUGAAACUGAUUUGGCAUAGAGAAAUAGUCAGUUUAUGACACUUCUUCCUACUUAUCUACAGUCCAGACCUGGCCUGCUUGUCCAUCCUUCACAGCUUACAUGAUGCCUGCGCCACCAGGGCAGAUGCACUCUGUCUGACCCGGACCACUCCUGACCCUUUAUCUGCUUUUCUUCACGCAGCCUUUUCAGAUUUGUGAUGACGGAAAACGUCAGCUAUGUGCAAGAAAUGGGGAUCACUGAAUAAUUAACCCACAAUAGCAACUAUUGAGAAAGCAACUUCUCUCUCUCACACAGAGUAGGAGAGCUCCAAUAAGUAUAAAGUUUAAUGCUACCCUAUUUAAUGAUAUUUUCACUUCAACUGGACUGUAAAAUUAACUGAGAACUUACACUAAAAAAAUUCUUUUAUUUUAUGCCGAUCAUUAACUAGGGAGGUUUCACACUUGAGGUCUAUUAUACUAAAAGGAACUGAAAUUGCUUAUAUCAAUUACCUUAUUCUAUGAGGACAGACCUCACAGAGCAUUGAAACUGUUUUGCAACUAUGGAAAAUGAGAGAAUCGCGACUCCCAGGUGGGACAGGAUCCCCAGCCUGUGGCCACUGCCCUUCCUGUACUGCCCACCAGUCUGGGGAAGGCCAAAGCCUUCUCUUCUCCAGGCUGAACAACCCCAACUCUCUCAGUCUGUCUCUGCCAGCACAAAACAAACUUUGUUCUGUGAAGGCAGCUGGAGCACGCCGCUUUGUUUGUUGCCUGCAUGAGACCAUGACCAAGCAGAGCUGCUGGGCAACCCGGCUGACGAGUUAGUAAAGAACCCAGCUUUAUUCUGCUCUUUGUAUGGACACUCAUCAAACAUCCCACACGUCAGUUCACACAGGACUUGGAAUGAUAAUAUUGGCAGUGUCCCUGCUGACUAUGUUAACUUACAGAGCAGCAGCAUCGAUCGAAUUAUGUAACCUACUUACUCGCUCUUAUUAAUGUUGCCUUUUAGUCUGUUAAUUCUGUACUUGCAUUGUGAAAAGAUAAACAUGAUCCAGAAGGAAGCAGAGGGAGGCUGGCUUAAAAGGCGAAACCAUGCUCCCUUUUCCUUGACAAUAAUUUAUCUGAAUUGUUCAGGACCAAAGUGUUGACUUGCUGACUCUUCAUGAUGCUGUCUGGAAUGGCCAAAUAAUGGUUCAAAAAAAAUUGUAGAGUGCCCCACGGCUGCCCCCAAUCCAAACAUUAGAGCAGCAUGUAAUUCCAAGCUCCCUGGCAGUUCCUAUUCAACUCUUCAGGUUCUGUCAUGAAGGGCAG